Molecule: ribosomal RNA, 484 nt
Filed under: uncultured bacterium
Lineage: Bacteria
Description: bacterial SSU rRNA
Rfam family: Bacterial small subunit ribosomal RNA
Source: RNAcentral
AUUGAACGCUGGCGGAAUGCUUUACACAUGCAAGUCGAACGGCAGCACGGGGCAACCUGGUGGCGAGUGGCGAACGGGUGAGUAAUACAUCGGAACGUGCCCAAUCGUGGGGGAUAACGUAGCGAAAGUUACGCUAAUACCGCAUACGAUCUACGGAUGAAAGCGGGGGAUCGCAAGACCUCGCGCGAGUGGAGCGGCCGAUGUCAGAUUAGGUAGUUGGUGGGGUAAAGGCUCACCAAGCCAACGAUCUGUAGCUGGUCUGAGAGGACGACCAGCCACACUGGAACUGAGACACGGUCCAGACUCCUACGGGAGGCAGCAGUGGGGAAUCUUAGACAAUGGGCGCAAGCCUGAUCUAGCCAUGCCGCGUGAGUGAAGAAGGCCUUCGGGUUGUAAAGCUCUUUUGUCCGGGAGCAAGUCCUACUGGCUAAUAUCUAGUGGGGAUGAGAGUACUGGAAGAAUAAGCACCGGCUAACUACGUGCC